GACGAACGCUGGCGGCGUGCUUAACACAUGCAAGUCGAACGGAAAGGCCCUGCUUUUGUGGGGUGCUCGAGUGGCGAACGGGUGAGUAACACGUGAGUAACCUGCCCUUGACUUUGGGAUAACUUCAGGAAACUGGGGCUAAUACCGGAUAGGAGCUCCUGCUGCAUGGUGGGGGUUGGAAAGUUUCGGCGGUUGGGGAUGGACUCGCGGCUUAUCAGCUUGUUGGUGGGGUAGUGGCUUACCAAGGCUUUGACGGGUAGCCGGCCUGAGAGGGUGACCGGCCACAUGAGGACUGAGAUACGGCCAAGACCCCUCCGGGAGGCAGCGGGGGGGAAUAUGGAACAAGGGGCGGAAGCCUGAUGCAGCACCGCCGCGUGGGGGAGGACGGCUUUCGGGUUGUAAACCGCUUUCGCCUGUGACGAAGCGUGGGGGCGGUAAUGGGUAAAGAAGCACCGGCUAACUACGUG
This 467-nucleotide ribosomal RNA is filed under the name uncultured bacterium. RNAcentral's name for it is "partial 16S ribosomal RNA". It matches the Rfam family "Bacterial small subunit ribosomal RNA", at positions 28 to 507 of the family's 1533-position model. The record is from RNAcentral.